This 821-nucleotide ribosomal RNA is filed under the name uncultured fungus. Its description in RNAcentral is "eukaryotic LSU rRNA". It matches the Rfam family "Eukaryotic large subunit ribosomal RNA", at positions 30 to 821 of the family's 3401-position model. The record is from RNAcentral. Lineage: Eukaryota; Fungi.
GAACUUAAGCAUAUCAAUAAGCGGAGGAAAAGAAACUAACAAGGAUUCCCCUAGUAACUGCGAGUGAAGCGGGAAAAGCUCAAAUUUAAAAUCUGGUGGUCCCGAGUUGGCUGCCCGAGUUGUAAUCUAGAGAAGUGCUUUCCGCGCUGGACCGUGUACAAGUCUCUUGGAACGGAGCGUCGUAGAGGGUGACAAUCCCGUCUUUGACACGGACUGCCAGGGCUUAUGUGAUGCGCUCUCGAAGAGUCGAGUUGUUUGGGAAUGCAGCUCAAAAUGGGUGGUAAAUUCCAUCUAAAGCUAAAUAUGGGCGAGAGGCCGAUAGCGAACAAGUACCGUGAGGGAAAGAUGAAAAGAACUUUGAAAAGAGAGUUAAACAGUACGUGAAAUUGUUGAAAGGGAAACGAUUCAAGUCAGUCGCGUUGGCCGGUAAUCAACCCUUGCGAAGGCGGGGGCUUACUUUCCGUCUGACGGGUCAGCAUCAAUUUUGACCGUCAGAUAAAGGUUUGGGGAACGUGGCAUCUUCGGAUGUGUUAUAGCCCCUUGUCAGAUGUGACGGUUGGGAUUGAGGAACUUGGCACGCCCGCAAAGGGUCGGGGCUUUUUGCCCACGUAACGUGCUUUGGAUGCUGGCAUAAUGGCUUGAACCGACCCGUCUUGAAACACGGACCAAGGAGUCUAACAUGCCUGCGAGUGUUUGGGUGGCAAACUCGAGCGCGAAGUGAAAGUGAAACUUGUCGAGAUCUCUGUCGUGGGGAGCACCGACGCCCGGACCUGACCUUUUGUGAAGGAUCCGCGGUUGAGCAUGCAUGUUGGGACCCGAAA